GAUGAACGCUGGCGGCGUGCCUAAUACAUGCAAGUCGAGCGAACAGACGAGGAGCUUGCUCCUCUGACGUUAGCGGCGGACGGGUGAGUAACACGUGGAUAACCUACCUAUAAGACUGGGAUAACUUCGGGAAACCGGAGCUAAUACCGGAUAAUAUAUUGAACCGCAUGGUUCAGUAGUGAAAGACGGUUUUGCUGUCACUUAUAGAUGGAUCCGCGCCGCAUUAGCUAGUUGGUAAGGUAACGGCUUACCAAGGCAACGAUGCGUAGCCGACCUGAGAGGGUGAUCGGCCACACUGGAACUGAGACACGGUCCAGGCUCCUACGGGAGGCAGCAGUAGGGAAUCUUCCGCAAUGGGCGAAAGCCUGACGGAGCAACGCCGCGUGAGUGAUGAAGGUCUUCGGAUCGUAAAACUCUGUUAUUAGGGAAGAACAAAUGUGUAAGUAACUAUGCACGUCUUGACGGUACCUAAUCAGAAAGCCACGGCUAACUACGUG
This 497-nucleotide ribosomal RNA is filed under the name uncultured bacterium. Its description in RNAcentral is "partial 16S ribosomal RNA". It matches the Rfam family "Bacterial small subunit ribosomal RNA", at positions 28 to 507 of the family's 1533-position model. The record is from RNAcentral.